GGUGACCCACAGCUUUGGCCCUCCCGCUGCAGAGCGGUCGGUUCAAGUUCUGGUUUUGCCACAUAUCUACCUGGCUUUGGGGAGUUCAAACCUUUCUGAGGCCCAUUCUCUGACAGCUUCCAGUCCUACCAACCACAGAAUAAGAAAAGUGAUAAUAAUCACCUAAGUGGCCUGGAGUCAUCAUUAGAUAAUUCUGCUUCCUCUCAACAUCUUCCCCUAUCUUGAAGAAACUGCAAAGUUUGUGCAUUACCAAAGCUUGUGCAUUAGACAUUGCCUAAGAAAUGUCAGUCAAGAAGGUUAAAAUGAAAGAAACACGGCUUAGAAUACGUAGAGAACUUGACAGACAACUGGAGUUGAGAGGGGCCUGGGGAAGAACUGGGAGUCCAUGGAAAUCCUGCUUGUCAGUGAUGGUGAACUGGCGUGGCUUGGAUAUUUGAAUCGGCACACCGAGGUUUCCAGCAGAAGCAUUAUAGACAAUAAAUGCAGAACUAGGUU
RNAcentral lists this long non-coding RNA (495 nucleotides) under Mustela putorius furo (domestic ferret). RNAcentral's name for it is "lncRNA (ENSMPUG00000031600.1)". The record is from RNAcentral. Lineage: Eukaryota; Metazoa; Chordata; Mammalia; Carnivora; Mustelidae.